AUUAUAAAAACUUCUCUGGUGGGUGUUAAUAGUAAUCCGAUUUUUUGUUUUCUAAAGUCGGGAAUACACCGCCUCAAAGUAAGCCCGGCCCACGCAAUUAUCUAGGGUUUCGGUUUCACUAUAAAAACUCCGAAACACACCUUCCUUCACUUCCCAAUCUCAGUUAAUUCUUCGCAGUUUAUCUUCUUCGUUGGGUUUUCGUCUGAACUUCUCUUCCGUUUUCAACAACCAUGAGGGCUAAGUGGAAGAAGAAGCGUAUGAGGAGGUUGAAGAGGAAGCGCCGAAAGAUGAGACAGAGAUCCAAGUAGUGUGUUUUCUCCAACACUAUCAAUUGCUCUUAGUUUUGUUUUCCAUUCCGUGUUGUUCUUGUUUUGAAAGAUACUUCUUAGUAAGAGAGUGGAAUCGGGUUCUCUCUCGCUUUUUGAUUUUAUGUUUUUUCGCGUUUGUCCUACCUCAAACAUUUGGUUUAUUAUGGAGUUAACUUAUUUUAAUUUUUGUUU
This is a long non-coding RNA of Cicer arietinum (chickpea), 500 nucleotides long. RefSeq lists it as uncharacterized. The record is from RefSeq and is a predicted model, not a curated record. NCBI's taxonomy places the organism in Eukaryota, Viridiplantae, Streptophyta, Magnoliopsida, Fabales, Fabaceae.